UUCCGUAGGGUGAACCUGCGGAAGGAUCAUUACUGAGUGCGGGCUGCCUUCGGGCGCCCAACCUCCCACCCGUGACUACCUAACACUGUUGCUUCGGCGGGGAGCCCUCUCGGGGGCGCGCCGCCGGGGACUACUGAACUUCAUGCCUGAGAGUGAUGCAGUCUGAGUCUGAAUAUAAAAUCAGUCAAAACUUUCAACAAUGGAUCUCUUGGUUCCGGCAUCGAUGAAGAACGCAGCGAACUGCGAUAAGUAAUGUGAAUUGCAGAAUUCAGUGAAUCAUCGAGUCUUUGAACGCACAUUGCGCCCCCUGGCAUUCCGGGGGGCAUGCCUGUCCGAGCGUCAUUGCUGCCCAUCAAGCCCGGCUUGUGUGUUGGGUCGUCGUCCCCCCCGGGGGACGGGCCCGAAAGGCAGCGGCGGCACCGUGUCCGGUCCUCGAGCGUAUGGGGCUUUGUCACCCGCUCGAUUUAGGGCCGGCCGGGCGCCAGCCGACGUCCAACCAUUUUUCUUCAGGUUGACCUCGGAUCAGGUAGGGAUACCCGCUGAACUUAAGCAUAUCAAUAAGCCGGAGGAA
This 571-nucleotide unclassified non-coding RNA is filed under the name Aspergillus versicolor. Its description in RNAcentral is "partial contains ITS1, 5.8S rRNA and ITS2". The stretch from base 189 to 342 matches the Rfam family "5.8S ribosomal RNA". The record is from RNAcentral. Lineage: Eukaryota; Fungi; Ascomycota; Eurotiomycetes; Eurotiales; Aspergillaceae.